RNAcentral lists this long non-coding RNA (283 nucleotides) under Ananas comosus (pineapple). RNAcentral describes it as "long non-coding RNA (ACOM_LNC004274)". The record is from RNAcentral. Lineage: Eukaryota; Viridiplantae; Streptophyta; Magnoliopsida; Poales; Bromeliaceae.
GAAUAAGUAAAGCAAAAAUUCGUAGCAUACGAAAAUUGAAUCAUGUUCUCUAUCAGAUCAUUGGUGCUAAGUAUUAAUUCCAAAAAUUCAAACUGUUUAAAAUAUACAAACUAAUUUAUUUAAAUAGUACAAGCAUAGUAUUCACAGGUCUCGAUUAUGACUCGGCACAAUCAAGCUCGUGUCAUUUCGAACAUAAUUUGGUCCAACGCGACUUUUUGCUAUUUCGAACAUGUCUCCUGCACAGAAUAGAAUGCCGAGCCUUUUAAGUUAACACAUAGAAGUU